UGACCCGGAUGUGAUCUGAACACGCAGCCUUCUGAUCUGGAGUCAGACGUUCUACCGUUGCGCCACCGAGUC
Araneus ventricosus is the source of this 72-nucleotide non-coding RNA. The record is from the annotation of a GenBank genome assembly. Lineage: Eukaryota; Metazoa; Arthropoda; Arachnida; Araneae; Araneidae.